RNAcentral lists this ribosomal RNA (330 nucleotides) under uncultured bacterium. RNAcentral's name for it is "bacterial SSU rRNA". It matches the Rfam family "Bacterial small subunit ribosomal RNA", at positions 568 to 898 of the family's 1533-position model. The record is from RNAcentral.
UGUGUAGGUGGUGCUCCAAGUCUGUUGUGAAAUCUCCCGGCUUAACUGGGAGGGUGCAGCGGAAACUGGAAUGCUUGAGGAUGGGAGAGGAAAGCGGAAUUCCUGGUGUAGCGGUGAAAUGCGUAGAUAUCAGGAGGAACACCCGUGGUGUAGACAGCUUUCUGGACCAUAUCUGACACUGAGACACGAAAGCGUGGGUAGCAAACAGGAUUAGAUACCCUGGUAGUCCACGCCCUAAACGAUGCAUACUUGGUGUGAGCGAUUCAUUUCGUUCGUGCCGGAGCUAACGCGUUAAGUAUGCCGCCUGGGGAGUACGGUCGCAAGGCUGAA